Molecule: long non-coding RNA, 329 nt
Filed under: Zostera marina
Lineage: Eukaryota; Viridiplantae; Streptophyta; Magnoliopsida; Alismatales; Zosteraceae
Description: long non-coding RNA (ZMAR_LNC000308)
Source: RNAcentral
AAGAUCUGAAGAGCCAGCUAGCUAGUGAAAGAGGGCACGUAGCCUCACUUGAGGCUACGACAGCGGAGUUGAAGAAGAAAGCUGCUCAGAGCCAACGAGAAACCACUGAGCUAAAAAGCGAGCUCGCGAGUGCGGAAGAAGAGGUUCGGACUCUGAAAGAUGACAAUGCCGCACUUGCUGGGAGAGCUGCUGGGUUGGAUUUGGAUGUACAUUACCAAUCCGACCAGCUUCAAGAGCUCAUAUUUUUUGGUCCUUCCGUGUAUCCCGCUCUACCCCCCGACUACAUCACGGACAUAAUGGCGUGGGUUGAUCAACAUCCUGAGGAGCUC